GUGGGGAAUAUUGGACAAUGGGCGAAAGCCUGAUCCAGCCAUGCCGCGUGUGUGAAGAAGGUCUUCGGAUUGUAAAGCACUUUAAGUUGGGAGGAAGGGCAGUAAGUUAAUACCUUGCUGUUUUGACGUUACCGACAGAAUAAGCACCGGCUAACUUCGUGCCAGCAGCCGCGGUAAUACGAAGGGUGCAAGCGUUAAUCGGAAUUACUGGGCGUAAAGCGCGCGUAGGUGGUUUUGUAAGUUGGAGGUGAAAUCCCCGGGCUCAACCUGGGAACUGCCUCCAAAACUGCAUGACUAGAGUACGGUAGAGGGUAGUGGAAUUUCCUGUGUAGCGGUGAAAUGCGUAGAUAUAGGAAGGAACACCAGUGGCGAAGGCGACUACCUGGACUGAUACUGACACUGAGGUGCGAAAGCGUGGGGAGCAAACAGGAUUAAAAACCCUGGUAGUCC
This 450-nucleotide ribosomal RNA is filed under the name uncultured bacterium. RNAcentral's name for it is "partial 16S ribosomal RNA". It matches the Rfam family "Bacterial small subunit ribosomal RNA", at positions 354 to 796 of the family's 1533-position model. The record is from RNAcentral.